RNAcentral lists this ribosomal RNA (465 nucleotides) under uncultured bacterium. RNAcentral's name for it is "partial 16S ribosomal RNA". It matches the Rfam family "Bacterial small subunit ribosomal RNA", at positions 28 to 507 of the family's 1533-position model. The record is from RNAcentral.
GAUGAACGCUGGCGGCGUGCUUAACACAUGCAAGUCGAACGGAAAGGCUCCUGCUUGCAGGGGUACUCGAGUGGCGAACGGGUGAGUAACACGUGGGUGAUCUGCCCUGCACUUCGGGAUAAGCCUGGGAAACUGGGUCUAAUACCGGAUAGGACGAUGGUUUGGAUGCCAUUGUGGAAAGUUUUUCGGUGUGGGAUGAGCUCGCGGCCUAUCAGCUUGUUGGUGGGGUAAUGGCCUACCAAGGCGUCGACGGGUAGCCGGCCUGAGAGGGUGUACGGCCACAUUGGGACGGAGAUACGGCCCAGACUCCUACGGGAGGCAGCAGUGGGGAAGAUUGCACAAUGGGAGCAAGCCUGAUGCAGCGACGCCGCGUGGGGGAUGACGGCCUUCGGGUUGUAAACUCCUUUCGCUAGGGACGAAGCGCAAGUGACGGUACCUGGAGAAGAAGCACCGGCUAACUACGUG